GACAGAGGGUGCAAACGUUGCUCGGAAUCACUGGGCGUAAAGGGCGUGUAGGCGGGAAGGAAAGUCAGGUGUGAAAUCCCCAGGCUCAACCUGGGAACAGCAUUUGAAACUCCCUUUCUUGAGUGCCGGAGAGGAAAGUGGAAUUCCUGGUGUAGAGGUGAAAUUCGUAGAUAUCAGGAGGAACACCAGUGGCGAAGGCGGCUUUCUGGACGGUUACUGACGCUGAGACGCGAAAGCGUGGGGAGCAAACAGG
Molecule: unclassified non-coding RNA, 253 nt
Filed under: uncultured Myxococcales bacterium
Lineage: Bacteria; Pseudomonadati; Myxococcota; Myxococcia; Myxococcales
Description: contains 16S-23S intergenic spacer region
Rfam family: Bacterial small subunit ribosomal RNA
Source: RNAcentral